UUUUUUUUUUUUAAUAUAAAUUAAAGAACAAAUAAAUAAAACAUAUUCUAGUCUACCUACAAAUUAUAGGAUUUCUACGUUUUGAGAUGAUUGUGCCGACACACUUUUGGUCUUAUAUAUGUGUCUCUCAUUAUUUUAAAGUUAUUUUUUUUUUGUUUUUAAUAGAGCGAUCACUAGUGAAAGGUUUUUAUACAAGCCACGUUUAUCAUGUACAUAAUUUUUUUAAGAUUAAUAUUUUAAUUACGUUGUUUAGUCAAAAACUGGCUAUAUAAAGAUUAUCAUCAUGAUGAUAAGAUUGAAUCAAAGACGUGGACAAGCAUAAACAUAACUAAAAAU
RNAcentral lists this long non-coding RNA (336 nucleotides) under Capsella rubella. Its description in RNAcentral is "long non-coding RNA (CRUB_LNC001192)". The record is from RNAcentral. Lineage: Eukaryota; Viridiplantae; Streptophyta; Magnoliopsida; Brassicales; Brassicaceae.